This 662-nucleotide ribosomal RNA is filed under the name uncultured euryarchaeote. Its description in RNAcentral is "bacterial SSU rRNA". It matches the Rfam family "Archaeal small subunit ribosomal RNA", at positions 405 to 1067 of the family's 1478-position model. Lineage: Archaea; Methanobacteriati; Methanobacteriota. The record is from RNAcentral.
GGCUUUUGUGGAAUGUAAAAAGUCUACGAAUAAGGACUGGGUAAGACUAGUGCCAGCCGCCGCGGUAAUACUAGCGGUCCAAGUCGCAGCCAUUCUUAUUGGGUCUAAAACAUCCGUAGCUUGCUUGAUAAGUUUUCUGUGAAAUCUCAUAUCUCAAGUAUAAGAAUUGUGGAAAAUACUGUCAAGCUAGAGACCGGGAGACGUAAAGAGUACGUCUAAAGUAGCGGUAAAAUGUGUUGAUCUUAGGCGGACUGACGAUAGCGAAGGCACUUUACGAGAACGGUUCUGACAGUAAGGGAUGAAGGCUAGGGGCGCAAAACGGAUUAGAUACCCGUGUAGCCCUAGCAGUAAACACUGCACACUAAACCUUGUGAUCUCUUCGAGAGAUUGCAGGGCUGCAGGGAAGCCGAAGAGUGUGCUACCUGGGAAGUAUAGUCGCAAGGCUGAAACUUAAAGGAAUUGGCGGGGAGACACUACAACGGGUGACGCGUGCGGUUCAAUUAGAUUAUACACCGUGAACCUCACCAGGAGCGACAGCAGAAUAAAGGUCAGUCUAAAGGGCUUACCUGACACGCUGAGAGGGGUUGCAUGGCCGACGUCAGCCUGUGCUGUGAGGCGAUCUGUUAAAUCAGAUAACAGGCAAGACCCACAUCUUUAUUUAC